GAUGAAGAACGUAGCGAAAUGCGAUAAGUAAUGUGAAUUGCAGAAUUCAGUGAAUCAUCGAAUCUUUGAACGCACAUUGCGCCCGCCAGUAUCCUGGCGGGCAUGCCUGUUCGAGCGUCAUUUCAACCCUCAAGCCCUGCUUGGUGUUGGGGAUCGGCGUUGCCUCCUCCGUCGUUCGCGGCGGGGUGAGGUCGCCGCCCCCGAAAUGAAUUGGCGGUCUCGUCGCAGCUUUCCUUUGCGUAGUAACAUACCACCUCGCAACCAGGAGCGCGGCGCGGCCACUGCCGUAAAACGCCCAACUUUUUCAAGAGUUGACCUCGAAUCAGGUAGGAAUACCCGCUGAACUUAAGCAUAUCAAUAAGCGGAGGA
This 369-nucleotide unclassified non-coding RNA is filed under the name soil metagenome. RNAcentral's name for it is "partial contains 5.8S ribosomal RNA, internal transcribed spacer 2, and large subunit ribosomal RNA". The stretch from base 1 to 120 matches the Rfam family "5.8S ribosomal RNA", at positions 35 to 154 of the family's 154-position model. The record is from RNAcentral.